AAUAGCCAAACCAUAUACAGGCACAACACACAUUUCAGCAUCUGCCUAAAGAUGAAAUCUUCAAGCAUGUGAGUGGCUCUGAGCCUCAGGGCCAGUGUUAAGGCCUUUUAAACAAACUCCUCUCCCAAGCCACCACUGCAGUGAAGGAACAUAGGGUUGUCCACAGUGAAAUCCAUUGCUUUGUUCAGAACACAAAGGAGGGGUCAUUUGUGGAGAAAUACAAAACCAAGGAGUAAGUCAACUGAAUUUUUAAUCAAAUGGGCUCUGCUAUGGUUUGAAUGUGUCCCCGAAGUUUCUGUGUUGGAAAUUUGAUCCUCAAUGCAGAAGUGUUCGGAGGUGAGACCUUUAAGAGGUGAUUAGGUCAUAAGGGCUCUGCUCUCAUGAAUGGAUUAAUGCCAUUAUUGGAGGAGGUGGUUCCUUACAGAAGGAUGAGUUCAGCCUCCUCCCACUUCUCUUGAGCCCAUGUGAUGCCUUCUGCUAGGUUAUGACAAAACAAGAAGGCCCUUACAAGAUGCCAGCACCUUGAUCUUGAACUUCCCAGCCUGCAGAACUCUUAACCUACAGGAGAAGACAUGCUGUAAAAAAUAAGGCAAGGCUAUGUCUGACGGAUUUCUAGACUGCACAGUCCAGUAGAUUACAUGAGAGGAUCAAUAAUGAAGACCAGUUGUGGUGGCUCAUUCCUGUGAUACCAGCACUUCGGUUGGUCAAGGCUGCAGGAUCACUUGCACCCAGCAGCUCAAGAUAAGCCUGCACAGUACAGGGUGAACCUGAUCUCUAUGAAAAAUAAAAAUUAGCCAGCCAUGAUUGUGUACCGGUAAUCCCAGCUACUCGGGAGGCUUAGGUGGAAGGAUCACUUGAGGGAGGUCAAGGCUGCAGUGAGCUAUGAUCGAAAACACCACUGCACUCCAGCUUUGGCAACACAGUGAGCAAGAUCCUGUCUCAAAAAAGCAGAAAAAUGAAAAAUUAGGGGGAGUCAGAGGGUCAUGGAAGGUUUGAAGGAGGACAAGUGUCUUGAGUUGGACCGCAAAGAGUGAAGACAACAUUUCCAUGAAAGGAAUGGAAGCAACGAGAAGAAGAAAGUUUCUCAAGGAUGCUGGUAGUUUCCCAGAGUAUGAGACUCAGAGAAACAAAAAUGGAAAAUGCUGAAGUCCAUUAAGAAGAGGCUCUCAGAACACUUUUAUUCUGGAAUAUAAACUAGUGCUACCACUAAGGAAAACAGUAUGGAGAUUUCUUAAAGAACCAAAAGUAGAAUUACCACUUGAUCCAGCACUCCUACUACUGGGUAUCUACCCAAAGGAAAGUAAGUCAUUACAUGAAAAAGACACAUGCACUUGCAUGUUUAUAGCAGCGCAAUUCUCAAUUGCCAAGAUAUGGAACCAACCUAAAUGCCCAUCAACCAACAAGUGGAUAAAGAAAAUGUCGUCUAUAUAGUGAUAAAAAGGAAAGAAAUAAUAUCUUUCUCAGAAACUUGGAUGAAGUUGGAGGCCAUUAUUCUAAGUGAAAUAACUCAGAAAAGGAAAAUCAAAUAUCAUAUGUUCUCACUUAUAAUUGGGAGCUAAUUUAUAAAGAUGCAAAGGUAUAAGAAUGUCAUAAUGUAUUUUGGGGACUCAGGGGGGAAGGGAGUUGAGGGAUAAAAGACUACAUAUUGGAUACAGUGUACACUGCUCAGGAGAUGGGUGCCCUAAAAUCUCAGAAAUCAGCACUGAAGAACUUAAUUAUGUAACCAAAAACCACCUGUAACCCCCAAAACUAUUAAAAUAAAAAUUAAUAAAUUAAAGAAGAGAAGAGAUCUUCAGGGCUGAGGAUUGCCUGAGGCCAGGAGGUCAGGACCAGCAUGGGCAACACAGCAAGACCCUGUCUCUACCAAAAAAAAAAUUUUUUUUGACAGGCUUAGUGGCACAUACCUGUAGUCUCAGCUACUUAGGAGGCUGAGUUUGGAGGAUCAGUUGAGCCCAGGAGAUUGAGGCUGCAGCUAUGAUCAUGUCACUGCACUCCGGCCUGGGUGACAGAGGGAGACCCUGUUUCAGACAGAGAGAGAGAGAGAGAUCCUCAGGAAGCAGGGCUGGGCAAGCUAUCCCCAGCACUCCAUCCUCCAAGGUGCAGAGGAUGCACAAUUGCCACUAGCCCUACCUUGAGUAUAAUGCAACUUUUGUAGUGUGGUGAUGACUAGAGGAUGGGAAGUGGUAGCAGAGAAAUUAGUCAAUCUUUGACACUGGAGAGAGAAUUUAGGGAAGGUUCUAUUUCUUCUCUCCUGAAUUUCUGUGCUAGCUUCUUUCCUUCAGGUUAGCUCUCCCAGCAACAACAUUAAGGUCAAGAGGCCAAAUAGAAUUUUGUGGAGAGUCUGGGCCUCUCAUUGGAUUGGUGGAGGACCAGUUUGCAGGGUCUCUGUUCUCUAUCUUCUAGAGCUGAUAUCCACUGAACCAAAGGGGCAGUCGUGUUGACCUUGAGGUAGAAGGGCUUGAAUCACCUAUUCCUGAGCUGCCCAACUAGAAGAAUUUAUUGCUGUCAUCGGAAUACAUAAAAAAGAGUCAAGGUCAGAAAAGCCGGAGUCUGUUCUCUGCCUCCCCCACCUGACCCACUUCUCCACAAUCCACCUGCUUCAGCUACCUCAGGCCUGAUCCCAGCUGCCAGACUCCAACGGAGUCAGAUCCUCAAAUUGCCAGGAGAUCGCUAUCCAAACUGUCACCUCCUGAUCAGAAAAGAAGGAGUUAUGCCGACUGUGCUGCUUUGUCUGAAUCCAGAACAAAGGAUCGGCCCUUAAGGAGGCUGAUGCGAUGUUAAAGCCCAUCACUCUAAAAUUGGCACCACACCUGGGAAGAGCAGGCAGCACCAUCACUGGCUUUCCUGUUCAAGAAUGACACCUGUCAAUCAGGCAGGACAUCCCCUUGGGUUUUCCAGUCCAAGAAAACUCACUGGCUUCUUGAAAAGCCAAAGAGAUCAAGAGAAAAGGGAUGAGGAGAGUGAACAGAGGGGAGGAGGGAACAAUAGGAGAGGGAGGAGAGGUGAGAAUAAAGAAAAGAGGGAGGAAAAGAGAAGGAGAAAUUGGAAGCAAAGGUAGAAUAAUGAGAGGAUGUGGAAGAGCAGGUAGAGGUAGAAGAACAGGUGGGAGAAGAGGAGAGAAGACAAAUGAGGAGAAGAAGACAAGCAGUGUAAAAGAUGGUUAGAAGAGAUGGGAAAUACAAGAGAAAUAUGCAAAAUUCUGCCGCCACCAGAGGCAACAUUUGCCAACUUUUUUGCAGAGUGU
This is a long non-coding RNA of Pongo pygmaeus (Bornean orangutan), 3244 nucleotides long. RefSeq lists it as uncharacterized. Lineage: Eukaryota; Metazoa; Chordata; Mammalia; Primates; Hominidae. The record is from RefSeq and is a predicted model, not a curated record. The transcript is spliced from 3 exons.